AUUGAACGCUGGCGGCAUGCUUUACACAUGCAAGUCGAACGGUAACAGGCCUUCGGGUGCUGCCGAGUGGCGCACGGGUGCGUAAUGCAUCGGAACGUGCCCAGAGGUGGGGGAUAACGCAGCGAAAGCUGUGCUAAUACCGCAUGUGAUCUGAGGAUGAAAGCGGGGGACCAGGCAGCAAUGUUUGGCCUCGCGCCUUUGUAGCGGCCGAUGUCAGAUUAGAGAGUUGGUGGGGUAAAGGCCUACCAAGCCGACGAUCCGUAGCUGGUCUGAGAGGACGACCAGCCACACUGGGACUGAGACACGGCCCAGACGCCUACGGGAGGCAGCAGUGGGGAAUUUUGGACAAUGGGCGCAAGCCUGAUCCAGCAAUGCCGCGUGCGGGAAGAAGGCCUUCGGGUUGUAAACCGCUUUUGUACGGAACGAAAAGGCUCUGGCUAAUACCUGGGGCUGAUGACGGUACCGGAAGAAUAAGCACCGGCUAACUACGUG
RNAcentral lists this ribosomal RNA (492 nucleotides) under uncultured bacterium. RNAcentral's name for it is "partial 16S ribosomal RNA". It matches the Rfam family "Bacterial small subunit ribosomal RNA", at positions 29 to 507 of the family's 1533-position model. The record is from RNAcentral.